GAUGAACGCUGGCGGCGUGCCUAAUACAUGCAAGUCGAGCGAACAGACGAGGAGCUUGCUCCUCUGACGUUAGCGGCGGACGGGUGAGUAACACGUGGAUAACCUACCUAUAAGACUGGGAUAACUUCGGGAAACCGGAGCUAAUACCGGAUAAUAUAUUGAACCGCAUGGUUCAAUAGUGAAAGACGGUUUUGCUGUCACUUAUAGAUGGAUCCGCGCCGCAUUAGCUAGUUGGUAAGGUAACGGCUUACCAAGGCAACGAUGCGUAGCCGACCUGAGAGGGGGAUAGGCCACACUGGAACUGAGAGACGGUCCAGACGCCGACGGGAGGCAGCAGUAGGGAAUAUGCCGCAAUGGGCGAAAGCCUGACGGAGCAACGCCGCGUGAGUGAUGAAGGUCUUCGGAUCGUAAAACUCUGUUAUUAGGGAAGAACAAAUGUGUAAGUAACUAUGCACGUCUUGACGGUACCUAAUCAGAAAGCCACGGCUAACUACGUG
RNAcentral lists this ribosomal RNA (497 nucleotides) under uncultured bacterium. RNAcentral describes it as "partial 16S ribosomal RNA". It matches the Rfam family "Bacterial small subunit ribosomal RNA", at positions 28 to 507 of the family's 1533-position model. The record is from RNAcentral.